This 392-nucleotide ribosomal RNA is filed under the name uncultured bacterium. Its description in RNAcentral is "bacterial SSU rRNA". It matches the Rfam family "Bacterial small subunit ribosomal RNA", at positions 28 to 417 of the family's 1533-position model. The record is from RNAcentral.
GACGAACGCUGGCGGCGUGCUUAACACAUGCAAGUCGAGCGGUAAGGCCCUUUCGGGGUACGACGAGCGGCGAACGGGUGAGUAACACGUGGGUGACCUGCCCUCCAGCUCUGGGAGUAAGCCUGGGAAACCGGGGUCUAAUACUGGAUAUGACUCCAUGACGCAUGUUGUGGGGUGGAAAGCCUUGUGCGGCUGAGGAUGGGCCCGCGGCCUAUCAGCUUGUUGGUGGGGUGAUGGCCUACCAAGGCGACGACGGGUAGCCGGCCUGAGAGGGCGACCGGCCACACUGGGACUGAGACACGGCCCAGACUCCUACGGGAGGCAGCAGUGGGGAAGUCUUGCGCAAUGGGCGAAAGCCUGACGCAGCGACGCCGCGUGAGGGAUGACGGCCU